AGCAGCCGCGGUAAUUCCAGCUCCAAUAGCGUAUAUUAAAGUUGUUGCAGUUAAAAAGCUCGUAGUUGAAUUUCGGGAUUAGUACGCUGGUCGUGCCUUCGGUAUGUACUGGUGUUACUGGUUCCUACCUUCUGACGAACCGUCAUGUCAUUAAUUUGGUGUGGCGGGGAAUCAGGACUGUUACUUUGAAAAAAUUAGAGUGUUUAAAGCAGGCUCGCGCUUGAAUACAUUAGCAUGGAAUAAUGAAAUAGGACGUUCGAUCCUAUUUUGUUGGUUUCUAGGAUUGACGUAAUGAUUAAUAGGGAUAGUUGGGGGCAUUAGUAUUCAAUUGUCAGAGGUGAAAUUCUUGGAUUUAUUGAAGACUAACUACUGCGAAAGCAUUUGCCAAGGAUGUUUUCAUUAAUCAAGAACGAAAGUUAGGGGAUCGAAGACGAUCAGAUACCGUCGUAGUCUUAACCAUAAACUAUGCCGACUAGGGAUCGGAUGAUGUUAUUUUUAAUGACUCAUUCGGCGCCUUACG
RNAcentral lists this ribosomal RNA (520 nucleotides) under uncultured Glomus. Its description in RNAcentral is "SSU rRNA". It matches the Rfam family "Eukaryotic small subunit ribosomal RNA", at positions 569 to 1092 of the family's 1831-position model. Lineage: Eukaryota; Fungi; Glomeromycota; Glomeromycetes; Glomerales; Glomeraceae. The record is from RNAcentral.